AGAAGUGUUUCUCCUGCACCUCCUUCUCCUGCUUCUUCUUCCAACCCUCUUCUUGUCUCAGACAAACAAAAGUGCCCUCCCGCAACAGCGAGUUUCUCUUUAUAAAGCACAACCCAGACAGCAUCAAAGUAGAUUCCGCACUCAAUGGCGUCAUUAACGCCACUGUCAUCAUUCUUCUGGAAACAAGUCUGGCGAGGAGAAGAAGCCGGGCGCUUUCGCCGAAAUGGUGUAGUGAUUAAAGCGGCCGCUGGACGGAGCCACUGAAGAUGAAGAAGAAGUGGCUUGUGUGAAGUGUCUGGGCGCGCGCACUUGUUCCCGGGUCCUCUAGGGACUUCCCGGUGCUCCCACGGGCGUUGCUGUGGGUUUGGAGGAGUUCCAUGUGUAGUUUUUCAGGUGAUUUCGGACAACCCUGACAUCAUGCCCCCGGUUUUUCCCACUGUGUUGUGGCCGUGUGCCCGCUCGAGAGGCAGAAUCAUGGAGUGGUAGAAAUCAGGUGACUUUCCAGAAAAUCCUAAAUAAAGUGAAUGAUUUUACCAAA
Long non-coding RNA from Hippocampus zosterae (dwarf seahorse), 538 nucleotides. RefSeq lists it as uncharacterized. The transcript is spliced from 2 exons. NCBI's taxonomy places the organism in Eukaryota, Metazoa, Chordata, Actinopteri, Syngnathiformes, Syngnathidae. The record is from RefSeq and is a predicted model, not a curated record.